This 215-nucleotide ribosomal RNA is filed under the name Cladosporium sphaerospermum. RNAcentral's name for it is "partial 28S ribosomal RNA". It matches the Rfam family "Eukaryotic large subunit ribosomal RNA", at positions 1 to 213 of the family's 3401-position model. The record is from RNAcentral. Lineage: Eukaryota; Fungi; Ascomycota; Dothideomycetes; Cladosporiales; Cladosporiaceae.
GUUGACCUCGGAUCAGGUAGGGAUACCCGCUGAACUUAAGCAUAUCAAUAAGCGGAGGAAAAGAAACCAACAGGGAUUGCUCUAGUAACGGCGAGUGAAGCAGCAAUAGCUCAAAUUUGAAAUCUGGCGUCUUCGGCGUCCGAGUUGUAAUUUGUAGAGGAUGCUUCUGGGCAGCCACCGACCUAAGUUCCUUGGAACAGGACGUCAUAGAGGGU